AUGGCCGAGUCGGCCGUUAGCAUCGUGCUCGGCAAUGUCAACGCACUUGCAGUUCGGGAGACCACAAUGUUGUGUUGUGUCACCCUGGAAGUGGAGCUCCUGAAGGACGAGCUCAAGCGGCUGCGAGGCUUCCUUAGAGACGCCGACAACAAAUGGAGGCGGGGAGAUGAAAGUACUGCUGUCUUGGUCGGCCAGAUCAGAGAAGUGGCGUAUGAUGCUGACAAUGCCAUCGAAGCCGCUGAGUACAUGCAGAAGAGAAACAGAUUGAAGAAGGGGUUCAUGGGUACCAUUUCAAGGUAUGCUCGCCUACCAAGUGAUUUGACUAACCUUCACAAAGUUGGUGUUGAGAUCCAACGCAUCAAAAGGAAGAUUUCUGAUAUAUUUGAAAGUGCAAACCGUCUUAAAAUAGUUGAUUUGGGGAAUACCUCAACAGAAAAUCUUCAAGUUGAUGGUGAACUCCCACAAGAGUAUGGGCCUAUGCACCAGAACUUUGAAGAUGUUGUCAUGGUUGGUUUUGAGGAUGAUUACCAGGAAAUAGUGGGGAAACUACUUGAUAAAGGGGACAGUCUUAGUGUUGUCUCCCUAGUUGCCAUGGGUGGGGCGGGGAAAACAACACUUGCUAGAAAAUUCUACACUUCAACUAGUGCCAAACAACAUUUUGAGAUAGUUUCUUGGGUGACGGUGUCUCAGAAGUACAAAGGAAUUGAUUUACUAAAAGAUAUUCUGAAACAAAUCACUGGAAGCACAUUUAGGUCAGCUGAUCAAAUGCAAGAGUAUGAGGUGGCAAAGAUGAUUCAUGAUUUUCUAUCCCAAAAAAGGUACUUAGUAGUUCUUGAUGAUGUGUGGGAAACAGAUACAUGGGAAAUAUUAAACAGAACAACUAGAGCCUUUCCAGAUGCAGAAAAUGGUAGCAGAAUACUUAUAACCACACGAAAAGAAGAUGUUGCAAAUCAUGUUCAAAUGCCAACCCAUGUUCAUCCUUUGAAGAAGCUAGAUGAGCAGAAAAGCUGGGAACUUUUUAGUAGCAAAGCCUUACCAUCAUACAAGAGGUCUGUCAUACAUGAUGUGGAUGAGUUUGAAAAACUUGGGAGAAAGCUUGCAAGGAAAUGUGGUGGAUUACCACUUGAACUUGCAGUAUUGGGGGGUUACCUAUCAAAGAAUUUAAAUGCACAAACAUGGUCUGAUAUACUAUUGGAUUGGCCAUCGACCAAAAAUGAGCAGAUGAUGCGAAACAUGCUAGCUCGCAGUUAUUGGGACUUGCCAAAUCAUUAUUUAAGAUCUUGCUUCCUCUAUAUUGCUGCUUUUCCGGAGGACUCCAUGGUAUAUGUGUCAGAUCUUACCCAAUUAUGGAUAGCAGAAAGCUUCAUUCCACACAUACCAAAUCAUACACUAGAAGAAACAGCAUAUAAGUAUGUAACUGAGCUGGUCGAGAGAAGCUUGGUACAUGCUGUUGAAACAAGCAUGGGAGGUGGAAGGAUUGCGAUAAUAAGGAUUCAUGAUAUCUUACAUGACUGGUGCAAGGAAGAAGCAAGACAAGAUGGCUUUCUUGAUGGAGUGGAUAAAACUACUGGACGAGCUGGUGCACAAUUAUCAUCGGCUAACUUGGCAUCCUAUCGUUCUACUUUUCAAAGUUUGAGUAAUGUGAUCUUACCUGGAGCACCUAAUGUCAGAACUCUGUUUGGCUUUCAACUUGAAUCAGUAUCCCUUCCUAGGUUGAGGUUCCUAAGAGUUCUUUACAUUGAAGGCUCAACAUUGAGAGAUUUCUCCACAGUGAUUGGUGGCUGCAUUCACCUAAGAUACCUUAAGUUGCAUUGCUGUGGAGGUGUAAUGCUACCUUCUUCAAUAGGCCAGCUCCUUUACUUGCAGACUAUUGAUCUAAGAGACACAAAACUGGACUCACAAGUACCACAGUCCCUCUGGGAGAUCCCUACUCUAAGGCAUGUUUACCUCACCGAUGGGUUUUCUCCACCACCGCCUGCAAGGAGUGUGCGGCAGCAACAUAAAGAGCUCCAGACCUUGUUUUGGGAUGUUUCAGAUGUUGGCAGUGAAUGCUGCUACCAUGACAUGGAGAUUUUAUUGGGCCAGAUGGGUCAACUAACGACAUUAUUUUUGGUGAUGUCCCCCAUGCCCUCCGAGGUGUUUAACAUACUUGCACACAUGCCUCACCUUGUUGAUAUUUCUCUCAGCAACUUUGGUGUGCUCGAUAAGUUGCCUGCUGAGCUCCCACGGGGUGUCAAGCGUCUUCGUCUCUGUGCCCAUGUCAUUAAACAAGACCCGAUGCCGAUCCUGGAGAAGCUUCAUUAUCUUGUGGUGCUAGACUUGUCGGGGUACGAAGGUCAAACGAUGUUCUGCUCUGCCCAAGGGUUUCCUCGGCUGCAAGAGUUAAAACUUGUUGGUUUUUCAACUGAUGAUUGGAGGAUCGAGGUAGGAGCAAUGCCAAAGCUUUCCGACCUGACGCUUCGGGAAUGCAAUCGCAAGCUCCCCGAGGGGUUUCUACACCUUCCGUCCCUCAAUCACCUGAUGUUGUACAGAAUGCCCCAGAUUUCCGAAGAUGACAACACACUAAAGGAGCUCGAACGGAAAGGAUGUCAGGUGGAAUCUUUAUGA
Molecule: ribosomal RNA, 2607 nt
Filed under: Triticum aestivum (bread wheat)
Lineage: Eukaryota; Viridiplantae; Streptophyta; Magnoliopsida; Poales; Poaceae
Description: partial small subunit ribosomal RNA
Source: RNAcentral